This 460-nucleotide ribosomal RNA is filed under the name uncultured bacterium. RNAcentral's name for it is "partial 16S ribosomal RNA". It matches the Rfam family "Bacterial small subunit ribosomal RNA", at positions 338 to 795 of the family's 1533-position model. The record is from RNAcentral.
CCUACGGGAGACUGCAGUGAGGAAUAUUGGUCAAUGGACGAGAGUCUGAACCAGCCAAGUAGCGUGAAGGAUGACUGCCCUAGGGGUUGUAAACUUCUUUUAUAUGGGAAUAAAACGUUCCACGUGUGGGAUUUUGUAUGUACCAUAUGAAUAAGGAUCGGCUAACUCCGUGCCAGCAGCCGCGGUAAUACGGAGGAUCCGAGCGUUAUCCGGAUUUAUUGGGUUUAAAGGGAGCGUAGGUGGAUUGUUAAGUCAGUUGUGAAAGUUUGCGGCUCAACCGUAAAAUUGCAGUUGAAACUGGCAGUCUUGAGUACAGGAGAGGUAGGCGGAAUUCGUGGUGUAGCGGUGAAAUGCUUAGAUAUCACGAAGAACUCCGAUUGCGAAGGCAGUUCACUGGACUGCAACUGACACUGAGGCUCGAAAGUGUGGGUAUCAAACAGGAUUAGAUACCCCUGUAGUC